GACAGAGGGUGCAACCGUUGUUCGGAAUUACUGGGCGUAAAGAGCGUGUAGGCGGCUUGGUAAGUCCGCUGUGAAAGUCCAGGGCUCAACCCUGGAAAGCCGGUGGAAACUGUCAAGCUUGAGUCCGGAAGAGGCGAGUGGAAUUCCUGGUGUAGCGGUGAAAUGCGCAGAUAUCAGGAGGAACACCAAUGGCGAAGGCAGCUCGCUGGGACGGUACUGACGCUGAGACGCGAAAGCCAGGGGAGCAAACGGG
Molecule: ribosomal RNA, 253 nt
Filed under: uncultured bacterium
Lineage: Bacteria
Description: partial 16S ribosomal RNA
Rfam family: Bacterial small subunit ribosomal RNA
Source: RNAcentral